UACGUAGGGGGCAAGCGUUGUCCGGAUUUAUUGGGCGUAAAGAGCGUGUAGGCGGCCAUACAGGUCAGCUGUGAAAACUCGAGGCUCAACCUCGAGACGUCGGUUGAAACCGUAUGGCUAGAGUCCGGAAGAGGAGAGUGGAAUUCCCGGUGUAGCGGUGAAAUGCGCAGAUAUCGGGAAGAACACCCGUGGCGAAGGCGGCUCUCUAGUACGGUACUGACGCUGAGACGCGAAAGCGUGGGGAGCGAACAGG
Molecule: ribosomal RNA, 253 nt
Filed under: uncultured bacterium
Lineage: Bacteria
Description: partial 16S ribosomal RNA
Rfam family: Bacterial small subunit ribosomal RNA
Source: RNAcentral